RNAcentral lists this ribosomal RNA (432 nucleotides) under uncultured bacterium. RNAcentral describes it as "partial 16S ribosomal RNA". It matches the Rfam family "Bacterial small subunit ribosomal RNA", at positions 29 to 506 of the family's 1533-position model. The record is from RNAcentral.
AACGAACGCUGGCGGCAUGCCUAACACAUGCAAGUCGAACGAGACCUUCGGGUCUAGUGGCGCACGGGUGCGUAACGCGUGGGAACCUGCCCUUAGGUUCGGAAUAACUCCCCGAAAGGGGUGCUAAUACCGGAUAAUGUCUUCGGACCAAAGAUUUAUCGCCUUUGGAUGGGCCCGCGUUGGUUUAGCUAGUUGGUAGGGUAAAAGCCUACCAAGGCGACGAUCCAUAGCUGGUCUGAGAGGAUGAUCAGCCACACUGGGACUGAGACACGGCCCAGACUCCUGCGGGAGGCAGCAGUGGGGAAUAUUGGACAAUGGGCGAAAGCCUGAUCCAGCAAUGCCGCGUGAGUGAUGAAGGCCUUAGGGUUGUAAAGCUCUUUUACCCGGGAUGAUAAUGACAGUACCGGGAGAAUAAGCUCCGGCUAACUCCGU